AAAUUAUCCUCAUAAGUUCGACGACAAGAGGAACCACUUUUUGAAUAAAUAACUCCAUUGGAAUAUUUUCUAAUUAUUCUCUUAACUGUGGUGGCACAAAAUCGGAAGCCCCGACUGUUUACUAAAAACACAACUAUCUGCAAUGAUGUAAAUCAUAGUAUAGGUAGUGAGGUUUGCCCGAUGCCAUUAAUAUAAGAGAGGUAAUGGGUAACUGUUACUUAUCGAAAGUCUGGUUAAUAGCGGUCUUAACUAUGAGGAUCCAAAGGUAGCAAAAUAAAUUGGCCAUUAAAUGUGGUCCGGUAUCAAUAAUUUAACGAUGGCUUCACUGUCUCUACAACUUGCUCAGUGAAAUUGAAUUACCCGUGCAGAUGCGGGUUGCCUCCAGGGGGACGGGAAGACC
Molecule: ribosomal RNA, 400 nt
Filed under: Serpula himantioides
Lineage: Eukaryota; Fungi; Basidiomycota; Agaricomycetes; Boletales; Serpulaceae
Description: LSU rRNA
Rfam family: Bacterial large subunit ribosomal RNA
Source: RNAcentral